UUCUCGGCUACGUCCUCAUCUUCACCGUUGAAAGUGCUUUACAACCCUAGGGCCUUCAUCACACACGCGGCAUUGCUGGAUCAGAGUUGCCUCCAUUGUCCAAUAUUCCCCACUGCUGCCUCCCGUAGGAGUCUGGGCCGUGUCUCAGUCCCAGUGUGGCUGAUCAUCCUCUCAGACCAGCUACUGAUCGUAGCCUUGGUAAGCCAUUACCUUACCAACAAGCUAAUCAGACGCGGGCCCCUCUUUUAGCGGCUGACCUUUCCCCCGGAGGGCGUAUACGGUAUUAGCGUCCGUUUCCAAACGUUGUCCCGUACUAAAAGGUAGGUUCCCACGCGUUACUCACCCGUGCGCCACUAGAUCCGAAGAUCUCGUUCGACUUGCAUGUGUUAGGCAUGCCGCCAGCGUUCAUUCUGAGCCAGGAUCAAACUCUAAUCACUAGUGAAUUCG
RNAcentral lists this ribosomal RNA (447 nucleotides) under uncultured Alphaproteobacteria bacterium. RNAcentral describes it as "partial 16S ribosomal RNA". Lineage: Bacteria; Pseudomonadati; Pseudomonadota; Alphaproteobacteria. The record is from RNAcentral.